RNAcentral lists this ribosomal RNA (195 nucleotides) under uncultured Staphylococcus sp. RNAcentral describes it as "partial 16S ribosomal RNA". It matches the Rfam family "Bacterial small subunit ribosomal RNA", at positions 340 to 525 of the family's 1533-position model. The record is from RNAcentral. Lineage: Bacteria; Bacillati; Bacillota; Bacilli; Caryophanales; Staphylococcaceae.
UACGGGAGGCAGCAGGAGCGAAUGCUUCCGCAAUGGGCGAAAGCCUGACGGAGCAACGCCGCGUGAGUGAUGAAGGUCUUCGGAUCGUAAAACUCUGUUAUUAGGGAAGAACAAAUGUGUAAGUAACUAUGCACGUCUUGACGGUACCUAAUCAGAAAGCCACGGCUAACUACGUGCCAGCAGCCGCGGUAAUUA